UCCGAGUUAACCCCGGCAGCCUCCCGCGAGUCCCCAACACAGCUUGCUGGCAACACGGGAUAAGGGUUGCGCUCGUUGCGGGACUUAACCCAACACCUCACGGCACGAGCUGACGACAGCCAUGCAGCACCUGAACCGGCAGUCCCCGAAGGGAAGGUCCUAUUUCUAGGACGGUCCGCCGUUGUCUAGCCCAGGUAAGGUUCUUCGCGUUGCGUCGAAUUGAACCACAUGCUCCACCGCUUGUGCGGGCCCCCGUCAAUUUCUUUGAGUUUUAACCUUGCGGCCGUACUCCCCAGGCGGAUGACUUAAUGCGUUAGCUGCGCCACCGAAAGCCUAAGGCCCCCGACAGCUAGUCAUCAUCGUUUACGGCGUGGACUAC
This 379-nucleotide unclassified non-coding RNA is filed under the name uncultured Pseudomonadota bacterium. Its description in RNAcentral is "uncultured proteobacterium contains 16S-23S intergenic spacer region". Lineage: Bacteria; Pseudomonadati; Pseudomonadota. The record is from RNAcentral.